UUUUUUUUCUGUUUUUUAGUUCUUCUUUGUAUUUU
RNAcentral lists this small RNA (35 nucleotides) under Arabidopsis thaliana (thale cress). RNAcentral describes it as "ATSL113950". The record is from RNAcentral. Lineage: Eukaryota; Viridiplantae; Streptophyta; Magnoliopsida; Brassicales; Brassicaceae.